AAAUAUUACGACAAGGCCGAAAACUUCUAAUUUUCUUCCAAGCGGUUCAAUUCCGUUUAUAUUU
RNAcentral lists this transfer RNA (64 nucleotides) under Pseudohelice subquadrata. RNAcentral's name for it is "tRNA-Ser". Lineage: Eukaryota; Metazoa; Arthropoda; Malacostraca; Decapoda; Varunidae. The record is from RNAcentral.